AGUGAACGCUGGCGGUAGGCCUAACACAUGCAAGUCGAACGGCAGCACAGUAAGAGCUUGCUCUUACGGGUGGCGAGUGGCGGACGGGUGAGGAAUACAUCGGAAUCUACUUUUUCUUGGGGGAUAACGUAGGGAAACUUACGCUAAUACCGCAUACGACCUACGGGUGAAAGCAGGGGAUCUUCGGACCUUGCGCGAUUGAAUGAGCCGAUGUCGGAUUAGCUAGUUGGCGGGGUAAAGGCCCACCAAGGCGACGAUCCGUAGCUGGUCUGAGAGGAUGAUUAGCCACACUGGAACUGAGACACGGUCCAGACUCCUAAGGGAGGCAGCAGUGGGGAAUAUUGGACAAUGGGCGCAAGCCUGAUCCAGCCAUACCGCGUGGGUGAAGAAGGCCUUCGGGUUGUAAAGCCCUUUUGUUGGGAAAGAAAAGCAGCAGGUUAAUACCCCGCUGUUCUGACGGUACCCAAAGAAUAAGCACCGGCUAACUUCGUG
Molecule: ribosomal RNA, 492 nt
Filed under: uncultured bacterium
Lineage: Bacteria
Description: partial 16S ribosomal RNA
Rfam family: Bacterial small subunit ribosomal RNA
Source: RNAcentral